Molecule: ribosomal RNA, 471 nt
Filed under: Streptococcus anginosus
Lineage: Bacteria; Bacillati; Bacillota; Bacilli; Lactobacillales; Streptococcaceae
Description: bacterial SSU rRNA
Rfam family: Bacterial small subunit ribosomal RNA
Source: RNAcentral
GACGAACGCUGGCGGCGUGCCUAAUACAUGCAAGUAGAACGCACAGUUUAUACCGUAGCUUGCUACACCAUAGACUGUGAGUUGCGAACGGGUGAGUAACGCGUAGGUAACCUGCCUAUUAGAGGGGGAUAACUAUUGGAAACGAUAGCUAAUACCGCAUAACAGUAUGUAACACAUGUUAGAUGCUUGAAAGAUGCAAUUGCAUCGCUAGUAGAUGGACCUGCGUUGUAUUAGCUAGUAGGUAGGGUAAAGGCCUACCUAGGCAACGAUACAUAGCCGACCUGAGAGGGUGAUCGGCCACACUGGGACUGAGACACGGCCCAGACUCCUACGGGAGGCAGCAGUAGGGAAUCUUCGGCAAUGGGGGGAACCCUGACCGAGCAACGCCGCGUGAGCGAAGAAGGUUUUCGGAUCGUAAAGCUCUGUUGUUAAGGAAGAACGAGUGUGAGAAUGGAAAGUUCAUACUGGACG